Molecule: ribosomal RNA, 563 nt
Filed under: uncultured archaeon
Lineage: Archaea
Description: bacterial SSU rRNA
Rfam family: Archaeal small subunit ribosomal RNA
Source: RNAcentral
AAAUUCGCCCUUCGGGGCGCAGCAGGCGCGAAAACUUUGCAAUACACGAAAGUGUGACAGGGCUAUCCCGAGUGCCAUCCGCUGAGGAAGGCUUUUACCCAGUCUAGAACGCUGGGGGAAUAAGGAGAGGGCAAGUCUGGUGUCAGCCGCCGCGGUAAUACCAGCUCUCCGAGUGGUGUGGAUGUUUAUUGGGCCUAAAGCAUCCGUAGCUGGCUAAGUUAGUCCCCUGUUAAAUCCACCGAAUUAAUCGUUGGAUUGCGGGGGAUACUGCUUGGCUAGGGGACGAGAGAGGCAGACGGUAUUUCCGGGGUAGGGGUGAAAUCCUAUAAUCCCGGGAAGACCACCAGUGGCGAAGGCUGUCUGCUAGAACGCGCCCGACGGUGAGGGAUGAAAGCUGGGGGAGCGAACCGGAUUAGAUACCCGGGUAGUCCCAGCUGUAAACGAUGCAGGCUAGGUGUUUGGACGGCCACGUGCCGUUCUAGUGCCGCAGGGAAGCUGUUAAGCCUGCCGCCUGGGGAGUACGAUCGCAAGAUUGAAACUUAAAGGAAUUGGCGGGGGAGCAC